ACUUAUUUCAUCAGACUGCAAAUCUUUAUUUUUGGCCUACAUUCAGUCCUUAUGGCAACGCCACUGGGACACUCUGGACCAAAACAAGUUAUAUGCCACCCUUCCCUGUCUUUCCGACCGCCUACCUUCUUGCCGCCCUACGAGACGGGAGGAGGUAGUUCUUACAAGAUUAAAGAUAGGACACACCUAUGCCACGCAAGGACACCUCUUACGAGGUGAACCGCCACCUGUUUGUCCCUGGUGUGGGGACAAUUUUACUGUUAUACACUUUUUGAUUAUCUGUCCAAAGCUUCAGACUAUUCGUUGUCAAUUGUUUACAGAAAAAUCUUUAUUUUCGUUAUUUAGGUCCGUCCCAUCGGCGCAAUCUUUUCCUUUUUAAAGGGAAUAGGGCUGUAUUAUCAAAUUAAGAAUUUUAAUAUCUCUUUUGUUUUUGAUGUGAUAGUAACCUUUUUGGGCUCAACACCCCUUUUAAUGCUUUCCCACUCUUUUUUACAUUCUGGUUACUUAUUAUGUUGACCUUUAAAAAUAUAUCAUGUUUAUAAGAAUUAGGAAGUUUAAACCUUCAAUGUUACAACUACUUUUUGCCAUCAUUUAGCCAUAGUUGCUAUCAUGUCAUAAAACACAAACAAACAACAAGCACCCAAAAUGGGCCGGUGUAGAGCUUGGGUCAGUGAGUCAUGAAUAUGAGCUACAAGAGUUGUAACUGACUGCAUAAUGGAAACUAAUAUUAUAAAUUAUAUGUAUAUUGUAAUAAUAUAUGAAUUAGAAUAGUAAUUGCUUGGCCCUUUUUGUUUAUACUAUAAAUUUAUAAGAAAAAAUUAAUGCAUUGUGACAUGAUUUCAUGAAACUAAUUAUCAAUUUUAGUCACUUAUUGUCUCUUUACUGCAAACUUACUAGUAGAAAAUAAAAGGUAUGCUAGCUUGAAGUCGGAGACAAAUACUUGGAGAGAAAAAAAGGGAAAAGAUUGGUAACCACUAAAUAUAUUUUAAAAGCCCUCAUCAAAUGUUUAAAUAUGUACAUGUAUAAAGAAAAGCUCAACCAAAUUUUAGGCCUGUAUCACAUGUCAAUUUAAAGUUAUAAGAAUCUGAAGUAAAACAAACUGUAACAUAAAAAGAAACGGAAAAAAAAACAAGAAAAGAAAGUAAAAGUUUAUUAACUUAGUUUUAUCUAAGCCUUUCAUGUAAUUUACCUGUUAAAUGAAAAAUAUAACCAUCUUUUAAUGCGUUACUUCAUGUAAUCAUUUUAUGAGUUAUGUUAUUUUCACUUUUAAAAAUGUCAGUAUAGCUGCAUGUGUUGUGUACCUAAAUGUUAACUAGGCUUCAAAGAAAUACACAGUAAUUUAAAAAAUGGUGUUUGCAAACACUGAGCUACACAGUUAUAGGUUUAGUUAAAUAAAGGUUCGGUGUCCACUAGCUUCAUGGGUUUUUGAUCUUUGGUCUUGUGCUGUCUAACAUUUAGUGAUGCUGUCUCACAUAUUGCUUCCACUUUUUGUGAACAUCUACUGAAGUAGCAGCAUCAGUAAGAAAUACGCUCAUCUUUCUUAGCCUUCAGUUGCAGGGUGAUGGGAUGAGCAUCAACAUAUAAUUCUUUCAUUAAGGAAAUUAUUUUAAAAGCUUCUUCAUUAAAGAUACAAACUGCACACGGAACUAAACACUCAGGAAAAGCACCAAGCCACACCCUAAAACACCUUUCAGCCCUUCAAAGUCCCACUCUAAAAACACCUCUCAGCCCUACAAAGCCCCACUCCGAAACCUAAUUAACUUUUACCUUGUCCCAUUUUCCUUCUAAGCACCAUUGGCACAAGUCCACUAAGUACAAAAUUUCUUACUCAACUUUAAGACUGCUCUCCCCCAGGUAUAAACCUUUACUUAGCUGAGUCGGGUGACUUAAGUUUGCACAUUUUUUAUUAUUAAACAAUACAUAUUCAAAACAUAACAAAAACUACCGCACACAUCAGUUUACAUAAAUAGAUUAACAAACAUAUCUCAGACAAUCUACACAAAUCUUUCCUCCACCUCAUCAUACCCUACCCUAUGAAAGGACCAGCAUAGGUUGUAGUGGUUUGUCUUUAACUUUUAGUUGUAGCCAACACAAAUACCGAUAGCUUUCAACACACAUCAAUAAAUAACACAUAUUUCAGGCAGUUCGCACAUUUCAACCUUACACUGAACUUAUACUUAUGUAUAAACUUAUGACAUUAGCUACAUUGAGCAUAGCACCCACAUAUAUUAUCUUCACGUUAUACAAAUUCAAAUCGGGGAAGGAAAACAUGUCUAUUCACAAAACAUUUUUCAAGUAGGUAUAGGGUAUCCAGACUACGAAGAGACAUAAGGGAUAUGAAUUUUUCACAGCUACAUAACAAUAUAAGUAUACAUAACAAACAAGCAAUAUUUUACAAUAUACCAACAUAAAAAACAAACAUAUACACAUAAAUUAACAAACAUUU
Long non-coding RNA from Pomacea canaliculata, 2446 nucleotides. RefSeq lists it as uncharacterized. The transcript has 2 exons. NCBI's taxonomy places the organism in Eukaryota, Metazoa, Mollusca, Gastropoda, Architaenioglossa, Ampullariidae. The record is from RefSeq and is a predicted model, not a curated record.